Molecule: ribosomal RNA, 1017 nt
Filed under: uncultured bacterium
Lineage: Bacteria
Description: bacterial SSU rRNA
Rfam family: Bacterial small subunit ribosomal RNA
Source: RNAcentral
UGAGGAAUAUUGGUCAAUGGGCGUAAGCCUGAACCAGCCAAGUCGCGUGAGGGAUGAAGGUUCUAUGGAUCGUAAACCUCUUUUAUAAGGGAAUAAAGUGCGGGACGUGUCCCGUUUUGUAUGUACCUUAUGAAUAAGGAUCGGCUAACUCCGUGCCAGCAGCCGCGGUAAUACGGAGGAUCCGAGCGUUAUCCGGAUUUAUUGGGUUUAAAGGGUGCGUAGGCGGCCUUUUAAGUCAGCGGUGAAAGUCUGUGGCUCAACCAUAGAAUUGCCGUUGAAACUGGGGGGCUUGAGUAUGUUUGAGGCAGGCGGAAUGCGUGGUGUAGCGGUGAAAUGCUUAGAUAUCACGAAGAACUCCGAUUGCGAAGGCAGCUUGCUGGACUGUAACUGACGCUGAUGCUCGAAAGUGUGGGUAUCAAACAGGAUUAGAUACCCUGGUAGUCCACACAGUAAACGAUGAAUACUCGCUGUUUGCGAUAUACAGUAAGCGGCCAAGCGAAAGCGUUAAGUAUUCCACCUGGGGAGUACGCCGGCAACGGUGAAACUCAAAGGAAUUGACGGGGGCCCGCACAAGCGGAGGAACAUGUGGUUUAAUUCGAUGAUACGCGAGGAACCUUACCCGGGCUUGAAUUGCAACUGAAUGAUGUGGAGACAUGUCAGCCGCAAGGCAGUUGUGAAGGUGCUGCAUGGUUGUCGUCAGCUCGUGCCGUGAGGUGUCGGCUUAAGUGCCAUAACGAGCGCAACCCUUAUCGAUAGUUACCAUCAGGUUAUGCUGGGGACUCUGUCGAGACUGCCGUCGUAAGAUGUGAGGAAGGUGGGGAUGACGUCAAAUCAGCACGGCCCUUACGUCCGGGGCUACACACGUGUUACAAUGGGGGGUACAGAAGGCAGCUACACGGCGACGUGAUGCUAAUCCCUAAAGCCUCUCUCAGUUCGGAUUGGAGUCUGCAACCCGACUCCAUGAAGCUGGAUUCGCUAGUAAUCGCGCAUCAGCCACGGCGCGGUGAAUACGUUCCC